Molecule: ribosomal RNA, 502 nt
Filed under: uncultured bacterium
Lineage: Bacteria
Description: partial 16S ribosomal RNA
Rfam family: Bacterial small subunit ribosomal RNA
Source: RNAcentral
AUUGAACGCUGGCGGCAUGCCUUACACAUGCAAGUCGAACGGCAGCACGGGUGCUUGCACCUGGUGGCGAGUGGCGAACGGGUGAGUAAUACAUCGGAACGUACCUUAUCGUGGGGGAUAACGCAGCGAAAGCUGUGCUAAUACCGCAUACGCCCUGAGGGGGAAAGCGGGGGAUCGCAAGACCUCGCGCGAUUAGAGCGGCCGAUGCCUGAUUAGCUUGUUGGUGGGGUAAAAGCCCACCAAGGCGACGAUCAGUAGCUGGACUGAGAGGACGAUCAGCCACACUGGGACUGAGACACGGCCCAGACUCCUACGGGAGGCAGCAGUAGGGAAUCUUCCACAAUGGACGAAAGUCUGACCGAGCAACGCCGCGUGAAUGAAGAAGGCCUUCGGGUUGUAAAAUUCUGUUAUAAGGGAAGAAAGACGUGAGUAGGAAAUGGCUCACGAGUGACGGUACCUUAUGAGUAAGCCACGGCUAACUACGUGCCAGCCGCCGCCGUAA